ACGGAAGCAGCAGUGGGGAAUAUUGGGCAAUGGGCGAAAGCCUGACCCAGCGACGCCGCGUGAGGGAAGAAGGUCUUCGGAUUGUAAACCUCUUUCAGCAGGGAAGAAGCAAGUGACGGUACCUGCAGAAGAAGUCACGGCUAACUACGUGCCAGCAGCCGCGGUAAUACGUAGGUGGCGAGCGUUAUCCGGAAUUACUGGGUGUAAAGGGUGUGUAGGCGGAGAAGCAAGUCAGGCGUGAAAUUUAUGGGCUCAACCCAUAAACUGCGCUUGAAACUGUUUCCCUUGAGAGUGGGAGAGGUAAACGGAAUUCCUGGUGUAGUAGUGAAAUGCGUAGAUAUCAGGAGGAACACCGGUGGCGAAGGCGGUUUACUGGACCACAACUGACGCUGAGACACGAAAGCGUGGGGAGCAAACAGGAUUAGAUACCCUGGUA
RNAcentral lists this ribosomal RNA (436 nucleotides) under uncultured Oscillospiraceae bacterium. RNAcentral describes it as "partial 16S ribosomal RNA". It matches the Rfam family "Bacterial small subunit ribosomal RNA", at positions 341 to 792 of the family's 1533-position model. Lineage: Bacteria; Bacillati; Bacillota; Clostridia; Eubacteriales; Oscillospiraceae. The record is from RNAcentral.